CGGUAGUAAUACAUCGGUUCGUCCCAGCGCUGGGGAUAACUACUCGAAAGAGUAGCUAAUACCGCAUACGAUCUGAGGAUGAAAGCGGGGGACCUNNCCUCGCGCGAUUGGAGCGGCCGAUGGCAGAUUAGGUAGUUGGUGGGAUAAAAGCUUACCAAGCC
This 161-nucleotide ribosomal RNA is filed under the name uncultured bacterium N1. RNAcentral describes it as "partial 16S ribosomal RNA". It matches the Rfam family "Bacterial small subunit ribosomal RNA", at positions 109 to 274 of the family's 1533-position model. The record is from RNAcentral. Lineage: Bacteria; Pseudomonadati; Pseudomonadota; Betaproteobacteria; Burkholderiales; Comamonadaceae.